UGUCUUGUAAUUGGAAUGAUGGUGACUUAAACCCUCACCAGAGUACCAAUUGGAGGGCAAGUCUGGUGCCAGCAGCCGCGGUAAUUCCAGCUCCAAUAGCGUAUAUUAAACUUGUUGCAGUUAAAAAGCUCGUAGUUGAAUUUCAGCGUUUCGCGUGUGCCUCUUUUGGCCCAUCUCGUCUCGCUUUUUUUAUUACUUUGAGAAAAUUAGAGUGUUUCAAGCAGGCUUUUGUCUUGAAUACUUGAGCAUGGAAUAAUAGAGUAGGACCUUGGUUCUAUUUUGUUGGUUUUGUUACCUUGGUAAUGGUUAAUAGGAACGGUUGGGGGCAUUCGUAUUUAACUGUCAGAGGUGAAAUUCUUAGAUUUGUUAAAGACGAACUACUGCGAAAGCAUUUGCCAAGGACGUUUCCAUUAAUCAAGAACGAAAGUUAGGGGAUCGAAGACGAUCAGAUACCGUCGUAGUCCUAACCAUAA
RNAcentral lists this ribosomal RNA (473 nucleotides) under Babesia occultans. RNAcentral describes it as "SSU rRNA". It matches the Rfam family "Eukaryotic small subunit ribosomal RNA", at positions 499 to 1035 of the family's 1831-position model. The record is from RNAcentral. Lineage: Eukaryota; Apicomplexa; Aconoidasida; Piroplasmida; Babesiidae.